Molecule: transfer RNA, 60 nt
Filed under: Cordylochernes scorpioides
Lineage: Eukaryota; Metazoa; Arthropoda; Arachnida; Pseudoscorpiones; Chernetidae
Description: tRNA-Leu
Source: RNAcentral
UUCCCAUGCCGGGAAUUGAACCCAGGCCUCCUGGUAUCCUAGCCACUAGACCACGUGGGA